UACGAAGGGGGCUAGCGUUGCUCGGAAUUACUGGGCGUAAAGGGCGCGUAGGCGGCGGAUCAAGUCAGGCGUGAAAUUCCUGGGCUUAACCUGGGGGCUGCGCUUGAGACUGAUGUGCUUGAGGAUGGCAGAGGCUCGUGGAAUUCCCAGUGUAGAGGUGAAAUUCGUAGAUAUUGGGAAGAACACCGGUGGCGAAGGCGGCGAGCUGGGCCAUUACUGACGCUGAGGCACGAAAGCGUGGGGAUCAAACAGG
RNAcentral lists this ribosomal RNA (253 nucleotides) under uncultured bacterium. RNAcentral describes it as "partial 16S ribosomal RNA". It matches the Rfam family "Bacterial small subunit ribosomal RNA", at positions 524 to 776 of the family's 1533-position model. The record is from RNAcentral.